UACGUAGGGUGCGAGCGUUAAUCGGAAUUACUGGGCGUAAAGCGUGCGCAGGCGGUUCGUUGUGUCGGUGGUGAAAGCCCCGGGCUUAACCUGGGAAUGGCCAUGGAAACUGGCGAACUGGAGUGUGGCAGAGGGGGGUGGAAUUCCGCGUGUAGCAGUGAAAUGCGUAGAGAUGCGGAGGAACACCGAUGGCGAAGGCAGCCCCCUGGGCUAGCACUGACGCUGAGGCUCGAAAGCGUGGGGAUCAAACAGG
Molecule: ribosomal RNA, 253 nt
Filed under: uncultured bacterium
Lineage: Bacteria
Description: partial 16S ribosomal RNA
Rfam family: Bacterial small subunit ribosomal RNA
Source: RNAcentral